RNAcentral lists this long non-coding RNA (948 nucleotides) under Piliocolobus tephrosceles (Ugandan red Colobus). RNAcentral describes it as "lncRNA (ENSPTEG00000006957.1)". Lineage: Eukaryota; Metazoa; Chordata; Mammalia; Primates; Cercopithecidae. The record is from RNAcentral.
UUUUAACACAUCAUUGAUUAAAUCUAAAAUUGAUACGUUGGAAAAUUAUGCAAAAAAAAAUCAGUUACAUAAAUUAAGAAGAGAUAAAUUGUUUGAAGUUUUUAAAUUAUCUAAAACGGAAGAAGAUUAUAAAUUGUCGUUGCAUUUAUUAAAUGUAUAUUACAAUUUUGGAAGAAAUUUAAAUACCCAGCAAGAUGUUGAUUUAUUUUUUACAUCCAUUUUGAGGACAAAUCAACUAAAUGAAGCAAAAGAUUUUUUGAAGUAUUUUAACGGGUGGUUAUUAUGUCCUCCUUCAAACAAAUUGAUUUUACUAUGUAUGGAGGAAUUUUUUCGAAAAAAAAAUUUUAUGAAGUCAGGGAAAUUUUUUCUUUUAUUAGACAGAAUAACCAAAUAAAGUUAGAAAGUUCUUUUUAUUCCAUAACAAUAAAAUCCAUGCUGAUGAUAAAUAAAGACCCCAUAGAAGAAUCUAUGAUAAUAUAUGAUGAUUCUUAUAAUAUGGGCAUAUAUUUAACAAAUGAAAUACAUAAUUUAUUAUUAGAACAUAAUUUAUAUUACUAUCAUAAUGAGAAAAGCAAAAACAUAGAGAAUAAUAAAAAAUUGGAUUUUUAUAAAGAGAAUAUACAAGGAAUCAUUAUACGACUAACAAAUGAAUUAAUUAAAAAUAGGACAUACGUUAAGUUAUCGUCUAAGAGUUUGAGUUUGUUCGCAUGGGCAUACAUUUAUUUUGACAUAAAACAGAUAAUCGCAAAAUCUGAUAACAGAUUAGUUGAAGUUGAACAUUGUAACACUUGGUUAGACAUAAUAAAACUGGCAUGUUUGUACAACCAGAUAUCCGAAUGUCACACAAGCCCAUUUUCAGUAGAAUUUAAAGAUGUUCUUAGAAAUAUGAAGGAUGAUGAAAAUGCAGUUAAGGUUUGAAUGAAAAUAAAAAAAAAAAAAAAAAAAAAA